GGUCUGAUGGUGUAGCGGUUACUAUGUGUUAUUCCACUCAUGGGAACCUGAGGUCCGGGGUUCGAUUCCCUGGGGGACCA
Molecule: non-coding RNA, 80 nt
Organism: Rhodocollybia butyracea
Lineage: Eukaryota; Fungi; Basidiomycota; Agaricomycetes; Agaricales; Omphalotaceae
Source: the annotation of a GenBank genome assembly